RNAcentral lists this ribosomal RNA (139 nucleotides) under Eubacterium pyruvativorans. Its description in RNAcentral is "16S rRNA. Bacterial SSU". It matches the Rfam family "Bacterial small subunit ribosomal RNA", at positions 1 to 120 of the family's 1533-position model. Lineage: Bacteria; Bacillati; Bacillota; Clostridia; Eubacteriales; Eubacteriaceae. The record is from RNAcentral.
UUUUUAUCAAGAGUUUGAUCCUGGCUCAGGAUGAACGCUGGCGGCGUGCCUAACACAUGCAAGUCGAGCGGGAAGCUCACAAAUGAUUCUUCGGAUGAAUGCGUGAGUGGACAGCGGCGGACGGGUGAGUAACGCGUGG